RNAcentral lists this ribosomal RNA (837 nucleotides) under uncultured bacterium. RNAcentral describes it as "bacterial SSU rRNA". It matches the Rfam family "Bacterial small subunit ribosomal RNA", at positions 59 to 862 of the family's 1533-position model. The record is from RNAcentral.
CAGUCGAACGGGAAGAGAUGAAGAGCUUGCUCUUUAUCAAAUCCAGUGGCAAACCGGUGAGUAACACGUAAACAACCUGCCUUCAGGAUGGGGACAACAGACGGAAACGACUGCUAAUACCGAAUACGUUCCACGGGCCGCAUGACCUGUGGAAGAAAGGGUAGCCUCUACCUGUAAGCUAUCGCCUGAAGAGGGGUUUGCGUCUGAUUAGGCAGUUGGUGGGGUAACGGCCCACCAAACCAACGAUCAGUAGCCGGUCUGAGAGGAUGAACGGCCACACUGGAACUGAGACACGGUCCAGACUCCUACGGGAGGCAGCAGUGGGGAAUCUUCCGCAAUGGACGAAAGUCUGACGGAGCAACGCCGCGUGAGUGAAGACGGCCUUCGGGUUGUAAAGCUCUGUGAUCCGGGACGAAAGAGCCUAAGGUAAAUAGCCUAAGGAAGUGACGGUACCGGAAAAGCAAGCCACGGCUAACUACGUGCCAGCAGCCGCGGUAAUACGUAGGUGGCAAGCGUUGUCCGGAAUUAUUGGGCGUAAAGCGCGCGCAGGCGGCUUCCUAAGUCCAUCUUAAAAGUGCGGGGCUUAACCCCGUGAUGGGAUGGAAACUGGGAAGCUGGAGUAUCGGAGAGGAAAGUGGAAUUCCUAGUGUAGCGGUGAAAUGCGUAGAGAUUAGGAAGAACACCGGUGGCGAAGGCGACUUUCUGGACGAAAACUGACGCUGAGGCGCGAAAGCGUGGGGAGCAAACAGGAUUAGAUACCCUGGUAGUCCACGCCGUAAACGAUGGAUACUAGGUGUAGGAGGUAUCGACCCCUUCUGUGCCGGAGUUAACGCAAUA